CGCGUAGGCGGCCUGAUAAGUAGGGGGUGAAAUCCUGCGGCUUAACCGCAGGGCUGCCUUCUAAACUGUCAGGCUGGAGCACAGUAGAGGCAGGUGGAAUUCCCGGUGUAGCGGUGGAAUGCGUAGAGAUCGGGAAGAAUACCAACGGCGAAGGCAGGUCACUGGGCAGUUACUGACACUGAGGCACGAAGGCCAGGGGAGCAAACG
RNAcentral lists this ribosomal RNA (207 nucleotides) under uncultured bacterium. RNAcentral describes it as "partial 16S ribosomal RNA". It matches the Rfam family "Bacterial small subunit ribosomal RNA", at positions 568 to 774 of the family's 1533-position model. The record is from RNAcentral.